RNAcentral lists this non-coding RNA (29 nucleotides) under Macaca fascicularis (crab-eating macaque). Lineage: Eukaryota; Metazoa; Chordata; Mammalia; Primates; Cercopithecidae. The record is from RNAcentral. RNAcentral also lists the same sequence under 1 other name.
UGUUGAGUGUAAACCUAGGAAUGAAUCGC